RNAcentral lists this ribosomal RNA (468 nucleotides) under uncultured bacterium. Its description in RNAcentral is "partial 16S ribosomal RNA". It matches the Rfam family "Bacterial small subunit ribosomal RNA", at positions 28 to 507 of the family's 1533-position model. The record is from RNAcentral.
GACGAACGCUGGCGGCGUGCUUAACACAUGCAAGUCGAACGGAAAGGCCCUGCUUUUGUGGGGUGCUCGAGUGGCGAACGGGUGAGUAACACGUGAGUAACCUGCCCUUGACUUUGUGAUAACUUCAGGAAACUGGGGCUAAUACCGGAUAGGAUCUCCUGCUGCAUGUUGGGGGUUGGAAAGUUUCGGCGGUUGGGUAUGGACUCGCGGCUUAUCAGCUUGUUGGGGGGGUAGUGGCUUUCCAGGGCUUUGACGGGUAGCCUGCCUGAGAGGGUGACCGGACACAUUAGGACUGAGAUACGGACCAGAAGGCUACGGGAGGCAGCAGUGGAGAACAUGGCACAAUAGGCGGAAGCCUGAUGCAGCAACGCCGCGUGCGGGAUGACGGCCUUCGGGUUGUAAACAGAUUUCGAAUGUGACGAAGCGUGAGUGACGGUAAUGGGUAAAGAAGCACCGGCUAACUACGUG